UACGUAGGCAGCAAGCGUUGUUCGGAGUUACUGGGCGUAAAGGGUGUGUAGGCGGUUUUUUAAGUUUGGUGUGAAAUCUCCCGGCUCAACUGGGAGGGUGCGCCGAAUACUGAAAGACUAGAGUGCGGGAGAGGAAAGUGGAAUUCCUGGUGUAGCGGUGAAAUGCGUAGAGAUGUGGAGGAACACCGAUGGCGAAGGCAGCCCCCUGGGCCAAAACUGACGCUCAGGCACGAAAGCGUGGGGAGCAAACAGG
This 253-nucleotide ribosomal RNA is filed under the name uncultured bacterium. RNAcentral describes it as "partial 16S ribosomal RNA". It matches the Rfam family "Bacterial small subunit ribosomal RNA", at positions 524 to 776 of the family's 1533-position model. The record is from RNAcentral.